Molecule: long non-coding RNA, 1202 nt
Filed under: Gossypium barbadense (sea-island cotton)
Lineage: Eukaryota; Viridiplantae; Streptophyta; Magnoliopsida; Malvales; Malvaceae
Description: long non-coding RNA (GBAR_LNC000833)
Source: RNAcentral
GAAGAGUGUGUGGGCAGCCAAAAGUUUGUUGUAAAACGGGAUGUGUUGGAGGGUAGGGACCGGAGAAAAAAUCUCAAUUCUGGAUUAUGCGUGGCUCCCAAGUACUGCAGGUUAUAAGGUCGGAUCAAGUAUUAGUAAUAAUGGAGGUAGCAGAGUUUCGGACUUGAUUAAUGAGCACACAAGGAGAUGGAAAGUAGAGUUAAUAAAUUCUACCUUUUCGAGAGAGGAUGCACACAGAAUUGUAAAAAUCCCCUUAGCUGUUGAAGCCCAUGACGACUUUAUGGUAUGGAAAGGGGAGCCAUUUGGUGAACUUUCUGUAAGAAGUGACUACAAACUAUUACAUGAUGCUAAUUCUACUCCUAAUUUAAUACAGACAGAGGUUACAAAAUUUUACAAAAAAACUUUCAAAUGUUAUAUUCCAGCAAAAAUCAAGAUCCUAGUCUGGAAGAUUUCUUGGAAUUUUAUCCCCAAUCUUGCGAAUCUUUGCCUUAUUGACGACGGUGUUUGCUUGCCCCAGUUGUAGAGGGGCCAUUGAGAAUGUAAAUCAUAUUUUCCAACUAUGCCUUGUAACAAUAGAAGUUUGGGUAAGCCUAGGGAAGGGGUGGUUAAUGGCAGAGCCAAAUAUGGAGUUUUAGGAGUGGCUUACCUGGGUAUUCAAUAGAUGCAGUAGUUUACAGCGUCCUGUCUUCUGUUGCUCCUUGUGGGUGAUCUGGACAGACAGAAACAAGGGGCUACAUGAGGAGAAGAGAAAUACAGGGCCAGAUAUUGAUGCAUGGAUAAUAAGGCACACAAAAGAACUAGAGGAGAGUGAGAUUAAAGAUCUUACAAAGUAAAUCAUAGCUAUAGAUUGGUGUCCACCGAGUGAGUCGGUUAUUAAACUUAAUUUUGACGCAGCUUUUGACGAGGUACAGGCUAAAGCGAUCUCAGGGGUGGUGGCUAGGAAUGCGUCGGGGGAGGUUCUCGACUAAAAUACUGUGACUCACGAACGGGUUGCCUCGCCGUUUGCAGCACAAAGUCUCGCGUGUAUCCAAGCAGUGUCGAUUGGAAAACAAAGGGGUUUUUCAUCAGUUAUAAUCGAAGGAGAUUCGGUCUCAGUAAUUAAAAAGUGUAAAAUCAGAUUUAGAAGACAAAUCGGUGAUUGGGGGCCUUGAUAAGAGAUAUCCAGAUGCAAAAAAGAUUCUUUCAACAAAUUCUAUUCAGCC